Molecule: ribosomal RNA, 253 nt
Filed under: uncultured bacterium
Lineage: Bacteria
Description: partial 16S ribosomal RNA
Rfam family: Bacterial small subunit ribosomal RNA
Source: RNAcentral
UACGGAGGGUGCGAGCGUUGUCCGGAAUCACUGGGCGUAAAGGGCGCGUAGGCGGCCCGGUAAGUCGGAGGUGAAAUCCUGCGGCUUAACCGCAGGGCUGCCUUCUAAACUGCCAGGCUUGAGCACAGUAGAGGCAGGUGGAAUUCCCGGUGUAGCGGUGGAAUGCGUAGAGAUCGGGAAGAACACCGGUGGCGAAGGCGGGUCUCUGGGCCGAUACUGACGCUGAGGAGCGAAAGCGUGGGGAGCGAACAGG